Molecule: long non-coding RNA, 259 nt
Filed under: Carica papaya (papaya)
Lineage: Eukaryota; Viridiplantae; Streptophyta; Magnoliopsida; Brassicales; Caricaceae
Description: long non-coding RNA (CPAP_LNC009140)
Source: RNAcentral
AAAACGAGUCAGGGGUAUGAAAUUUACCUCGAUCGGCGGUCGAAAAUCUCUCCGGUGCGGCGGCGGCCGGCUCCUCCAGCGUCUGGUUCGUCUUCUCCGGCGAGGGCAGGCGGUUAGGGUUUUUGUGGUCAGGUGUGGGGGUUCUAUUUAUACCCUUUUGUCUUUUGAUCUCAGCCGUCCAUUUUGAUUUAAUCUGGGCCGUCCGUUUUUGAUUGAAUCUGGGCCGUCCGUGCACGUGCAUUUGGGCCGUCCGUGCGAU